AAUAAAUGAUGAAAAACUGUUUCGGUCCCAGCUGAUGUCCUGUGAUAACUUGCAUUUUUCUGAUGUU
Molecule: small nucleolar RNA, 67 nt
Organism: Loxodonta africana (African savanna elephant)
Lineage: Eukaryota; Metazoa; Chordata; Mammalia; Proboscidea; Elephantidae
Gene: SNORD73
Rfam family: Small nucleolar RNA SNORD73
About the family: U73 is a member of the C/D class of snoRNA which contain the C (UGAUGA) and D (CUGA) box motifs. U73 is encoded within the introns of ribosomal protein S3a and contains a 12nt region of complementarity to a conserved sequence in 28S ribosomal RNA. U73 is therefore thought to function as a 2'-O-ribose methylation guide for pre-rRNA.
Source: Ensembl